UACAGAGGUCCCAAGCGUUGUUCGGAUUUACUGGGCGUAAAGGGUGCGUAGGUGGCGGGGUAAGUCUGGUGUGAAAGCUCCGAGCUCAACUCGGAAAAGCAUUGGAAACUAUCCCGCUUGAGGGUCGGAGGGGAGACUGGAAUUCUCGGUGUAGCAGUGAAAUGCGUAGAUAUCGAGAGGAACACCAGUGGCGAAGGCGGCUUUCUGGACAGAUACCGACGCUGAGGCACGAAAGCUAGGGGAGCAAACAGG
This 252-nucleotide ribosomal RNA is filed under the name uncultured bacterium. Its description in RNAcentral is "partial 16S ribosomal RNA". It matches the Rfam family "Bacterial small subunit ribosomal RNA", at positions 524 to 776 of the family's 1533-position model. The record is from RNAcentral.